This 506-nucleotide ribosomal RNA is filed under the name uncultured bacterium. RNAcentral's name for it is "bacterial SSU rRNA". It matches the Rfam family "Bacterial small subunit ribosomal RNA", at positions 792 to 1296 of the family's 1533-position model. The record is from RNAcentral.
UAUCUAAUCCGUAAACGAUGAGUACUAGCUAUUGGAGGUAUUGACUCCUUCAGUGGCGCAGCUAACGCAUUAAGUACUCCGCCUGGGAAGUACGGUCGCAAGACUAAAACUCAAAGGAAUUGACGGGGGCCCGCACAAGCGGUGGAUUAUGUGGUUUAAUUCGAAGCAACGCGCAGAACCUUACCAAGGCUUGAAAUCCUCAGAAUUUCGGGUAAUUCCGAAAGUGCCCGCAAGGGAAUUGAGUGACAGGUGCUGCAUGGCUGUCGUCAGCUCGUGUUGUGAAAUGUUGGGUUAAGUCUCGCAACGAGCGCAACCCCUAUCUUUAGUUGCCAGCAUUAAGUUGGGCACUCUAGAGAGACUGCCCGGGUUAACCGGGAGGAAGGUGGGGAUGACGUCAAGUCCUCAUGGCCCUUAUGCCUUGGGCUACACACGUAAUACAAUGGUGCAUACAGAGGGAAGCAAUCUGGUGACAGUGAGCAAAUCUCAAAAAGUGCAUCUCAGUCCGG